RNAcentral lists this ribosomal RNA (252 nucleotides) under uncultured bacterium. RNAcentral's name for it is "partial 16S ribosomal RNA". It matches the Rfam family "Bacterial small subunit ribosomal RNA", at positions 524 to 776 of the family's 1533-position model. The record is from RNAcentral.
UACGUAGGGGGCUAGCGUUAUCCGGAAUUACUGGGCGUAAAGGGUGCGUAGGUGGUUUCUUAAGUCAGAGGUGAAAGGCUACGGCUCAACCGUAGUAAGCCUUUGAAACUGGGGAACUUGAGUGCAGAAGAGGAGAGUGGAAUUCCUAGUGUAGCGGUGAAAUGCGUAGAUAUUAGGAGGAACACCAGUUGCGAAGGCGGCUCUUUGGACUGUAACUGACACUGAGGCACGAAAGCGUGGGGAGCAAACAGG